AAAUCUAUUUUUGGUAAAAAAAAAAUCUUCAUUUUGAAAAUCCCAAAAAAAGGUACAUCAUUUUUGUAUUUAGUAACGCUUAUAUUUGUAUAAUAUUCAAACCGAUAUAUUUUGAAGCAACUUAAAUUAUAUUUUUCUACAAAUAUCUAUCAAAUAUAUAGGCAUCGAUGCUUGUAUGUGUGCAUGAUUUACAUACAAAUUUUAAUAAAAAAAUUAUUAGUUGAAUUUGUCGAGACGGACUGGAGGUUUAGUGAAUAUAGGAUGGAAAGUUUUAUUUAAAAAAAAAGGAAAAAUAUGGUAAAAAUAUUUUAUAAUAAAUAAUUUUAACACGUACAAUUUUCCCCACUUAUUCAAUAUAUCACUCAAAGCACAUUUAAAAAAUACCUAUUACGAACCAAUUACUAUCAAAACAAACAUGUAACACCAAUAAAUUAUAAAAGAUGUUUGAUUUCUAACUGCGCUCCUUCAAAUGGGGGGUUCUUUAGGUGUUAUGGAUUACGUUCUACAUGAAAAAAAGUUCUUAGCCCUUUUUUAAUAUACGAGCUACUUUGCAACGUACUUCAUAACUGUUCAAUACUCUUAAGUCUAGUUAGUCUUCACCCUAGAAUCAUCGAUAAAUAAUAAUAAUAAUAAUACACUUUAUUGUAAACAAAAAAAAGAAAUAUUACAUAGCAAAGAAAAUUUUAACAAUAUAUUCAUUGUACCUAACAAAGGGACUUGUCGGGCCUUUUAGGCCUUGUCGCUAAAAAGCGAUUUCUUCCAGACAACUUUGAAUUCUUUUACUCAUAAAAUGUUUUUCUUUGUAAAUUAUAGCCGUUAUGUUCUCACAAAAGGUAUCAUUCGGAACGAGUCUAUCAAGGUAGCUCGUCUAUAUCGUAGAACGUGAUUUACUACACCUACAGAACCCCCCAUUCGAAGGAACGUAGUUAGGGAGUCGAACACAUUUAUAUUUGUAAAAAACUUAACAUCGUUUUUUUUUUUUUUUGGAUAAAGUGUAAUAACUAUAUUUAGAAAUAUCAUUCAUCCACCGAAAAAUAUUAAACAUUUAAAAUAAAAUUAAAUAUUUUAGUAACGUUACGUUAACAGCCGUAGUUUUUUUAACAGAACAAAUAAACUAUAGCCCGGUUCGUGACCAAAACGAAUACCGCUAACCGACUUCAAAAUAGAAGAAAGUUUUCAAUUUGAUUGGGGUGGGCUUUGUCCCAUUUAUUGAUCAAAAUCUGACGCUUAGUUUUUGAGUUAUCCCUAAUUAUGCGUACUUGAAGUCAGAACCGAGAUUUAAUUUAUUUAGUCAGUAAAAAAAAAUAUAUAAGGGACAUUACGUCCGAAUACUUUUAUAUGGACGCCACUUAUUUUAAAACAUUCCUGUUAUACAUACACAAUGCAGUGGUUUUAAACCAUUUCACAAAUUCUCAUAAUUAAUAAUAAACCUACUAUAGGGGUCGAAAUGGAAAUCUUAACCUAUAACUCCAAAUAGAUACAAU
Molecule: unclassified non-coding RNA, 1484 nt
Filed under: Melitaea cinxia (Glanville fritillary)
Lineage: Eukaryota; Metazoa; Arthropoda; Insecta; Lepidoptera; Nymphalidae
Description: misc RNA ENSMCXG00005003926.1
Source: RNAcentral